Molecule: ribosomal RNA, 391 nt
Filed under: uncultured bacterium
Lineage: Bacteria
Description: bacterial SSU rRNA
Rfam family: Bacterial small subunit ribosomal RNA
Source: RNAcentral
GACGAACGCUGGCGGCGUGCUUAACACAUGCAAGUCGAGCGGUAAGGCCCUUUCGGGGGUACGACGAGCGGCGAACGGGUGAGUAACACGUGGGUGACCUGCCCUCAGCUCUGGGAUAAGCCUGGGAAACGUGGGUCUAAUACCGGAUAUGACUCCAUGACGCAUGUUGUGGGGUGGAAAGCCUUGUGCGGCUGAGGAUGGGCCCGCGGCCUAUCAGCUUGUUGGUGGGGUGANGGCCUACCAAGGCGACGACGGGUAGCCGGCCUGAGAGGGCGACCGGCCACACUGGGACUGAGACACGGCCCCAGACUCCUACGGGAGGCAGCAGUGGGGAAGUCUUGCGCAAUGGGCGAAAGCCUGACGCAGCGACGCCGCGUGAGGGAUGACGGCC